Molecule: long non-coding RNA, 515 nt
Filed under: Salmo salar (Atlantic salmon)
Lineage: Eukaryota; Metazoa; Chordata; Actinopteri; Salmoniformes; Salmonidae
Description: lncRNA (ENSSSAG00000101141.1)
Source: RNAcentral
GGGGGGGGUGAGAGACUAUCAGGGUGAAGGGAGGAGGGGUCUACUUGCUGGUCACAGGAUCCAUGGUUUGGAUACAAACCUGGGGCUUUGUCAUAUUUGAUAAGAGACAGAAGUGCUUAGACAUGGACUGGAAUGCAGAGGAGGCAAGUUGGCGUUUUCGACUUAGCUAAAGUAUUCCCCAGCCAAAGGUCAGCCCGUGCUGCUCUGUGAUUUGAUGGAUGCAAGAGACAACAUGCUCUGCAGAAAGAUAUUGGAUUAAAAGGCCAAAUUGACAGCUGCCAUAGAGUACAACACCCUUGUACCAGAUUCAGCAAUACCAUCGGCAGAUGAGAUCCUUUCCGCAGACCUUCAUGCAUGGCCUUGGGAGCUGCAUGGACAGGACCCGGUACUUCUCAGAUUUGACUUUGUUUGUUCCGGCAUCUAUCUGUCCAGAUCCGGUACCUCUCGCAGCAUGAAUUAUUAAUUGGUUCACUGUUCGUAUUGUAGACAUUCUAAUAAAAGUGAUCAGCAUUAAA